GAUGAACGCUAGCUACAGGCUUAACACAUGCAAGUCGAGGGGUAACGAGAGGAAAGCUUGCUUUCCUUGUCGACGACCGGCGCACGGGUGAGUAACGCGUAUCCAACCUGCCCCCAACUAGGGAAUAACCUUGCGAAAGUAAGACUAAUACCCUAUACUUUCCUCAGAUGUCAUCUGACGAGGAAUAAAGAUUUAUCGGUUGUGGAUGGGGAUGCGUCUGAUUAGCUUGUUGGCGGGGUAACGGCCCACCAGGGCAACGAUCAGUAGGGGGUCUGAGAGGAAGGUCCCCCACAUUGGAACUGAGACACGGUCCAAACUCCUACGGGAGGCAGCAGUGAGGAAUAUUGGUCAAUGGGCGGAAGCCUGAACCAGCCAAGUAGCGUGCAGGAUGACGGCCCUAUGGGUUGUAAACUGCUUUUAUACAGGAAUAAAGUUAGCCACGUGUGGUUAUUUGUAGGUACUGUAUGAAUAAGGACCGGCUAAUUCCGUGCCAGCCGCCGCAGUAA
RNAcentral lists this ribosomal RNA (506 nucleotides) under uncultured bacterium. RNAcentral's name for it is "partial 16S ribosomal RNA". It matches the Rfam family "Bacterial small subunit ribosomal RNA", at positions 28 to 523 of the family's 1533-position model. The record is from RNAcentral.